RNAcentral lists this ribosomal RNA (479 nucleotides) under uncultured bacterium. RNAcentral's name for it is "partial 16S ribosomal RNA". It matches the Rfam family "Bacterial small subunit ribosomal RNA", at positions 28 to 507 of the family's 1533-position model. The record is from RNAcentral.
GAUGAACGCUAGCGGGAGGCCUAACACAUGCAAGCCGAGCGGUAUUGUUUCUUCGGAAAUGAGAGAGCGGCGUACGGGUGCGUAACACGUGUGCAACCUGCCUUUAUCUGGGGGAUAGCCUUUCGAAAGGAAGAUUAAUACUCCAUAAUAUAUUGAACGGCAUCGUUUAAUAUUGAAAGCUCCGGCGGAUAGAGAUGGGCACGCGCAAGAUUAGCUAGUUGGUGAGGUAACGGCUCACCAAGGCGAUGAUCUUUAGGGGGCCUGAGAGGGUGAUCCCCCACACUGGUACUGAGACACGGACCAGACUCCUACGGGAGGCAGCAGUGAGGAAUAUUGGUCAAUGGGUGCAAGCCUGAACCAGCCAUCCCGCGUGAAGGAUGACUGCCCUAUGGGUUGUAAACUUCUUUUGUAUAGGGAUAAACCUACCCUCGAGAGGGUAGCUGAAGGUACUAUACGAAUAAGCACCGGCUAACUCCGUG